UACGGAGGGUGCGAGCGUUGUCCGGAAUCAUUGGGCGUAAAGGGCGCGUAGGUGGCCCGGUCAGUCUUUGGUGAAAGCGCGGGGCUCAACCCUGCGUCGGCCAUGAAUACUGCCGCGGCUGGAGCACUGUAGAGGCAGGCGGAAUUCCGGGUGUAGGCGGUGGAAUGCGUAGAGAUCCGAAAGAACACCGGUGGCGAAGGCGGCCUGCUGGGCAGUGCUGGACACUGAGGCGCGACAGCGUGGGGAGCAAACAGGG
RNAcentral lists this ribosomal RNA (256 nucleotides) under uncultured bacterium. RNAcentral's name for it is "partial 16S ribosomal RNA". It matches the Rfam family "Bacterial small subunit ribosomal RNA", at positions 524 to 777 of the family's 1533-position model. The record is from RNAcentral.